This 488-nucleotide ribosomal RNA is filed under the name uncultured bacterium. RNAcentral's name for it is "bacterial SSU rRNA". It matches the Rfam family "Bacterial small subunit ribosomal RNA", at positions 30 to 507 of the family's 1533-position model. The record is from RNAcentral.
AUUGAACGCUGGCGGCAUGCCUAACACAUGCAAGUCGAACGGUAACGCGGAGAGCUUGCUCUCUGGCGACGAGUGGCGGACGGGUGAGUAAUACUUAGGAAUCUGCCCAGUAUGGGGGGACAACAUUCGGAAACGGAUGCUAAUACCGCAUACGCACUACGGUGGAAAGUGGGGGACCUUCGGGCCUCACGCUAUUGGAUGAGCCUAAGUCGGAUUAGCUUGUUGGUAGGGUAAUGGCCUACCAAGGCGACGAUCCGUAGCUGGUCUGAGAGGACGAUCAGCCACACUGGGACUGAGACACGGCCCAGACUCCUACGGGAGGCAGCAGUGGGGAAUAUUGGACAAUGGGCGCAAGCCUGAUCCAGCAAUGCCGCGUGUGUGAAGAAGGCCUGCGGGUUGUAAAGCACUUUCAGUAGAGAAGAAAAGCCCAGGGUUAAUAACCCUGAGUCUUGACGUAACCUACAGAAGAAGCACCGGCUAACUCCGUG